GUGGGGAAUCUUGCACAAUGGACGAAAGUCUGAUGCAGCGACGCCGCGUGAGCGAUGAAGCCCUUCGGGGUGUAAAGCUCUUUCGACAGGAACGAUAAUGACGGUACCUGGAGAAGAAGCUGCGGCUAACUACGUGCCAGCAGCCGCGGUAAUACGUAGGCAGCAAGCGUUGUUCGGAAUUACUGGGCGUAAAGCGUGCGUAGGCGGUGGCUCAAGUUUGGUGUGAAAUCUCCCGGCUCAACUGGGAGGGUGCGCCGAAAACUGAGUUGCUCGAGUGUGGGAGAGGUAGGCGGAAUUCCUGGUGUAGCGGUGAAAUGCGUAGAUAUCAGGAGGAACACCGGCGGUGUAGACGGCUUACUGGACCAUAACUGACGCUGAGGCACGAAAGUGUGGGGAGCAAACAGGAUUAGAUACCCUUGUAGUCC
RNAcentral lists this ribosomal RNA (425 nucleotides) under uncultured bacterium. RNAcentral's name for it is "bacterial SSU rRNA". It matches the Rfam family "Bacterial small subunit ribosomal RNA", at positions 354 to 796 of the family's 1533-position model. The record is from RNAcentral.